AUGGAUGUAGCAGCGCUUCGAUGGCGACUCCACACAAAGGGAAAGAGGAACGGCGGCUCACUGUCCGGCGAGGGAUCUCCUUUCUGUAAAAUAGCACGAGAGGCCCUUGUUGAAUUGGAGUUGCCACACUUGCUACACAGCAGUUGUGCUCGUGGCAGGCCCAAGCGACAGGAAAUUUUCAAGAAAAAUGGCCUUUACCAGGGGCCUUAUAUCGAGGAUCCUAACACAGGGGUCAAGAUGUUCGAAAGCGCUGAGAUCGUAGAAUACCUAAGGGCAACAUAUUCACUCUAUCCUCAGUACCAAAUUCUCUGA
Molecule: ribosomal RNA, 312 nt
Filed under: Triticum aestivum (bread wheat)
Lineage: Eukaryota; Viridiplantae; Streptophyta; Magnoliopsida; Poales; Poaceae
Description: partial small subunit ribosomal RNA
Source: RNAcentral